GAAAUGCGAUAAGUAGUGUGAAUUGCAGAAUUCAGUGAAUCAUCGAAUCUUUGAACGCACAUUGCGCCCUAUGGUAUUCCGUAGGGCAUGCCUGUUCGAGCGUCAUUUAAACCCUCAAGCUCUGCUUGGUGUUGGGUGUUUGUCCUGCCUUUGUGGGUGGACUCGCCUUAAAGAUAUUGGCAGCUGAUUGGUAGGCUUCGAGCGCAGUACAUGAGCCCGGAAUAGCCCUAUUAUUGGCGUCCACAAGCCCUCUUCAAUCUUGACCUCGGAUCAGGUAGGGAUACCCGCUGAACUUAA
Molecule: unclassified non-coding RNA, 297 nt
Filed under: uncultured fungus
Lineage: Eukaryota; Fungi
Description: sequence contains ITS1
Rfam family: 5.8S ribosomal RNA (bases 1-105)
Source: RNAcentral